UUUUUUUUUUUGAGAUGGAGUCUUGCUCUGUUGCCCAGGCUGGAGUGCAGUGGCAUGAUCUCAGCUCACUGCAGCCUCCACCUCUUGGGUUCAAGCAAUUCUCCUGCCUCAGCCUCCCAAGUAGCUGGGAUUACAAGUGCCCGCCACCACGCCUGGCUAAUUUUUGUGUUUUUGGUAGAGUUGGGGUUUCACCAUGUUGGCCAGGCUGGUCUCGACCUCCUGACCUGAGGUGAUCCGCCUGCCUCGGCCUUCCAAAGUGCUGGGAUUACAGGUGUGAGCCACCGCGCCCGGCCCCAUGAUUAGCUUUUAAUCACCAUUUUCAGAAGGAGAAGAGAGGCCACCUUCUGUCCUCCGCUGAGGAUUUGAGUCCUUUUGCCCUUGGUGAGAACACCAAAGAGGACCGCCGGAAUACCCUGCACUCCAGUGGAUCAGCUGACACCAUCCAGACUGGUAUCUGGCUCAAGGAGUUCUGCCAUCUCACCCAGGAACAGAAAACAGCAAGAGAAACUCACUUCGACCCUCCAUGAUUCCAUCUCCAACCUGAU
This is a long non-coding RNA of Homo sapiens (human), 545 nucleotides long. NCBI's taxonomy places the organism in Eukaryota, Metazoa, Chordata, Mammalia, Primates, Hominidae. The record is from Ensembl.